ACUUAGCACUUGGAAGAAGCUAAAAGGCCCUGGCCUGGAAACAUCUCCACUUUGCCUCUUUCCUGCUCCAGCCUGCAGACUAUGAACAUACACUAAUGGGAGAAUUCUAACCAAGGGACUGAGGACUUUAAGGGUUCAAAGAGGGAUGAGCUGGUUUCUAUGCACACAGCUUCUCCUGGUGUAGAAAGACUGCUCCAAACUGACACGCCAGUGACCUGCAAGUCCCAGCUGAGGAACAGGCUCUCCAAGAGGAAACAGUAAAUACAGGCAUGUAGAAGGGAAUACAUCAUAUUCUCAGUUCAUAGGUUCUUGGAAAAGUCACAUGACUGAAGCUGGAAAACUUGGUAGAUUUCAGCCACACUUUGGAGGACCUGUCAAAAUUCACAUUGGCCUUCAAAAUACCCCAAUUAUAUUACUCUUUGAGUGCAUUGUGGACACCAUCACCCCAAGGCACUACAUACAGAGAAUGCGGCCUCCAGUUUCUAACAUUUUUGCAGCAGUGUUAUUGACACCUCCUAUGAUUGCCAUGAAGAAGGUUGGUAAAAAAAAAUGGUCAAUUUAAGUUUGGCGUAAGAGAGCUGUGGGUACCACAGGUGAGGGGAUGAAGUAAAUCCAUUUUAAAACAGAGUUGUUUGAUUCCACUUGAAUGAACCAAGUCAGACAAGGUCAACGAUACUAUAGAAUAGAUACACUCAGCUUCCAAAAUAUAUUAAACUAAAUAAAACAGAGUGAGAGCAAAAAUUUUAAACAUACAUACAUACAUA
This is a long non-coding RNA of Trachemys scripta elegans, 764 nucleotides long. RefSeq lists it as uncharacterized. The transcript is spliced from 4 exons. The record is from RefSeq and is a predicted model, not a curated record. NCBI's taxonomy places the organism in Eukaryota, Metazoa, Chordata, Testudines, Emydidae.